UACGAAAGGUGCAAGCGUUACUCGGAAUCACUGGGCGUAAAGGGUGUGUAGGCGGUCCUCCAAGUUUGGUGUGAAAUCUCCCGGCUCAACCGGGAGGGUGCGCCGAAAACUGGGGGGCUAGAGUGCGGGAGGGGAGAGUGGAAUUCCUGGUGUAGCGGUGAAAUGCGUAGAUAUCAGGAGGAACACCGGUGGUGUAGACGGCUCUCUGGACCGUAACUGACGCUGAGACACGAAAGCGUGGGGAGCAAACAGG
Molecule: ribosomal RNA, 253 nt
Filed under: uncultured bacterium
Lineage: Bacteria
Description: partial 16S ribosomal RNA
Rfam family: Bacterial small subunit ribosomal RNA
Source: RNAcentral